ACAAAUUAAAAGAAUCAAUAAAUUGAAUUGACCACAAAUAUAAAUUCCACAAUUUUCUCGAGAUUAUUUGAUAGUUUAAAAAGUCAUAUUUUUUGUAAAUCGUAGAUUACCAUUAUAGUCCUAAAAAACUAUACCGUUUGUACUCUUAUCCUACUAUACCAUUUUUUUCACUCCCUAUAACAGAGUCCAAUGUACGUAGUAUAUUUUAUUUUUUCUUGUCAUAUCUCUUCGUAAAGUGUCGACCAAAAUCAGCCAGUUGAAUAAUAUUGCAAAUAAAACACACACACACAAAAAAAAAUAUCAUAUAAUUAAUUGAAAACUAAGAAGAAUGACAUCUAAUCACUGAAUGUAAGCUAUAUUUCAACAAAUGAUCAAUUUGUGUAAGAAGACAUAUUAACACUACACACACCUUAGAUUGAUAUGAUAGAAAAUUAUAGAAAACUAAAUGGUGACAAACCUUAUUAGUAGUAUAUAAAAACUAAUGGAGUUAAGGCCAAAUUUGGGCCCUCAAUUCUAUAAUUUUUCACCGUUUAGGUACUGAAUUUUUUUAUUCACCAUUUGGGUACUCAGACCCAUUUUAUCGCAAAAAAAAAAUUAAAUCAGCUCAAACAAUUUAGUACCCUUGGUUAAAAGUUGAGUACCUUGGGUUAAGAUGUGGGGCCCACCCAAAUUUUUUCCUUCUUGCUCCCCUUUUCUAAAUCAAACCCAAACAUUUCUCAUUCUCCAUUGAAGCGCACCCAACAUUCUCCAUUAAAGCGCACUCAAUGUUCUCCAUUAAAGCAGUUUCUGAGGGUUCUCCUAAGCUCCACAACAUCCUCUAUUUCUUGGCUUUCGAUUGAUCAUCCUCCACCAUCGUGUAGGUGAAAUAAUGAGUUUUCUUGGCUUGUAAGUGUUUGAUUGGUGAAAUUAGAGUAAAAAAUUAGAAUUUUAUUGAUUUUGAAACGCCCAAAAAUGCUUGAUUAGGAUUUUGCUGAUCAAAAUUGAUGAACGAAGAUUGCGCGGAUGGUGAAGGAAAGAAGAAGAUUGUGGGUUUUGAGGAUUUGAGAUGCGUGGGUUAUUGAUUAUGCUUCUUUUUUAUUUAUUUGUCAAAAAAUACAAGGCUACUGUAAGUCUGUUAUAAAGAUUGCUACAAUCUCUAUUGAAAAUCAAGUAUUGCUUUGGCCUCUUCUUCUUUUU
Molecule: long non-coding RNA, 1176 nt
Organism: Chenopodium quinoa (quinoa)
Lineage: Eukaryota; Viridiplantae; Streptophyta; Magnoliopsida; Caryophyllales; Amaranthaceae
Exons: 2
Source: RefSeq, a predicted model, not a curated record